GCAGACAGAAAACCGUGGAAUUUGUUUAUUUUAUUUCCGAUAAAUUUAUAGCUUUUAAUUCAACACACUCGUAAAAAUUACAAGCUAGUAGCAAGUGUGACAGAUGCAAUCGUAUGUGCCUUGAUCAUUUUUAACGCAUUCACCGCAAUAGCCUAGCGGAUAAUCGUCGUGACGGCAGUCGUAGUCGCACAUAUUAUCGUCCGAUCCGUUGCAUAAUCCUAACUUAUUUGUGCAGGGUACGCCGGGGCUCCCGCCUCCUUUUAUUCCUGCCUUUCUACCUUUGUCACAUCUACCUCCAUGCACCACCUUGUUGCUAUCUGCAUGCACAACGGAAAAAUUUAGUAACAAUUAUUUGUCGGGAACCUGGGCUCGAAAGAAUAUGGUUACUUACUGGUGGCAAAUACAAGGAGGAUUAACACGAUGCAGAAGCUUUUUGAGAACCUGGCCAUCUUUGAUGUAUAUUGUAACUUGAAGAAUGCAAGUUGGUUUGUUUAUAUAGCUGGGGCUGGUCUAAUUUGUUUUCUGUUUUUGGAAUUCUUGGAGUGAAGCUUGUAGUUCGGG
Molecule: long non-coding RNA, 561 nt
Filed under: Daucus carota (carrot)
Lineage: Eukaryota; Viridiplantae; Streptophyta; Magnoliopsida; Apiales; Apiaceae
Description: long non-coding RNA (DCAR_LNC003927)
Source: RNAcentral